Hibiscus syriacus is the source of this 2423-nucleotide RNA transcript. It is a transcript of the gene named transcription factor GTE7-like, with no coding region annotated. The transcript is spliced from 2 exons. Lineage: Eukaryota; Viridiplantae; Streptophyta; Magnoliopsida; Malvales; Malvaceae. The record is from RefSeq and is a predicted model, not a curated record.
CCAAUUGCUCGUUUUAAAUUCUCGAUUCACAUUGGUUUGGGCGGCGCGUGGUGGCCGUUCAGGUAGCUCGUGAAAGGAACGAUUUACCGUUUCAUGGUUUGAAUUUGCCAUUCCGAAUUGGGAAACCCUCGUCAUUGCUCUUCCGGCUCCUGAUUAUUUUAAUGGCAUCGGCCGUUUUGGCGAACCAAAGUGAGUCGAAUUGGUCACCGCAGCCGAGAAGCAGUGUAGCUAAAUUCAUGGGCAAAGUUCCUUACCCAGCAACAAAGCGUAAACACAACCCUAAAUUGAAAAAGAAACGUCAAUUCAACAAGCAAUUGCCGCCGUGUGAUGAUGAUGCUGGCCAUGUCGUCGAUGAUUUCCUGGCCGUAGCCCGACCGGCGGCUUCUGAUGCUGCGUCGUCGAUUGAUCGGAAACAGAACCAGUUUAGCUCCAGCGCUAUUGUAAGCUUCUGCGUCAGCACUUAUUCGAGGAAUGAGUUGAUUGAUCUGAAGAGCCAGUUGAUUGUCGAGCUGGAUCGGGUUCGUGAGUUGAAGAAUCGAGUCAAUUCGAACGAUUUUCAGUUGAGAUCCAGCUCAAAACCCUUACCUCAAAAAGGAAUUUCCGGUGACAAACGUCCUUUGCCCCCUAAUUCCAUCAAAGAAUUGAAGAGACUGAACACACAAGAGAAUGGAAAAGCACCACAAGCUCAUUUGAUGAAAAUUUGUUCCCAAAUACUGAACAAAUUGAUGAAACAUAAGUAUGGCCAUGUCUUCAAUUCUCCGGUUUAUGUCAUUGGGUUGGGGCUUCAUGAUUACUACAGUGUAAUUAAGAACCCAAUGGAUCUGGGCACUAUUAGGACGAGACUAGCGAAGAAAUUCUAUGGGUCACCGUUGGAUUUCGCAGCUGAUUUAAGGUUAGCUUUCAAUAACGCCAUGUUAUACAAUCCUAAAGGGCUUGAAAUAAAUGCGUUGGCUGAACAGUUGCUUGCAAGAUUCGAGAAGUUGUUUCAGCCGCUGAGUUAUAAGCUGGAGUACGAAGAGCCAUUGGAAAGAGGUUAUUUUGAAGAAGAGUUGCUGGCUAGUUCUUGGGAUCAUGGCGAUGAUAGGUUGAAGAAAGAUAGAGAAAGAAAUGGGGAGAAAAAUACUGUUGAAAGUGAUUGUUUAAUUAAUAUGUCAGCAAGACCCGGUAAAGAUGGCGCCGGUUCACGCUUUGUUUCAAACCCAAAUGUUCCACCGCUUCCGCUUCAGUUGCCCUAACCGGCAAGGGUGGCGAGGGUUGGUUCGCCGAUUCGGGUACCGAAGCAGCCAAAGCCAAAGGCUAAGGAUCCGAGCAAGAGGGAAAUGACUAUGGAGGAGAAGCAUAGGCUGGGAAUGGGAUUGCAGAGCUUGCCGCAAGAGAAGAUGGAUAAUGUGGUUCAGAUUAUAAGGAAAAGGAAUGGGCAUUUGAGCCAGGAUGGGGAUGAGAUUGAACUUGAUAUCGAAGCAAUGGAUACUGAAACACUGUGGGAGUUGGAUCGAUUCGUCACUAAUUACAAGAAGAUGGCCAGCAAGAUAAGGCGGCAAGCAUUGUUGGCGAACAAUGUGGUGUCUAAUGGCACCGAUAGGGGGGAGAUAACUAUGAAGAAAAUUGAAGCUCCAGUGGAGAUGAAGAAACCCAAGAAAGCGGAUGCUGGCGAGGAAGAUGUAGAUAUUGGGGAUGAAAUGCCAAUGAGUAGUUUCCCACCCGUCGAGAUUGAGAAGGACAACGAUGUGCUAGUAGCAGUUCUAGUGACCCCAGCAGCUCGAGCAGUGGUUCAUCAUCUUCAAGUGGUAUUACUCAACCCUCUUUCGAAUUUCAGAAUGAUGGUUUCUGAAAAAAAUAACAACCAAAAGAACUGCGGGAAGAAAUUCUUAUCUAGAUAGGUUAUCAUUUGCAGAUUCGGAUUCUGGGUCUUCUUCAGGAAGUGAUUACGAUGCAGAUGACAGACAGUCUUAAAAGCUCGGAUUGAAGGAUUGGUUAUUCAUUUCCGAAGCUUGUGAGGUGUGGUUCUGGGAAAUCCGGUGCUUGAGAUGGGGUUGGAACCCUGGUACUCAAUUUUUUCUCCGAGGCAUCUACCAUCCUAUCUUUUGUUUAUUGGUUGGUGGCAUGUAUGCGUGGUAUAUGGAAACAGACUGGAAUGCCGGCGUUAGCCUCUUUGGGGUCAUACGUUGAGAGGCGGCAACAGCGUUGGCUUGAGAACAUCACAUAUAUUGGAGCAACCACCUAAUAAAGCAAAAGUGCGAUCCCAAUGCAUGUGCUCGGUUCCGGGUUAACCAUUGCCGUGUCUGGAGAAGGUUAGCAUCUCUUGUUAUCGGCCUUUGCUUAAGAGACAAGUUGAUGAAAAUUGACUGCCAGUUUGGGAUUUGGAAGCCCUAUUCGAAGUGAUGAUUCAGAUAUAUGAUAUAUGCAGAACUUAGUUUUUGUUG